AGGACGAACGCUGGCGGCGUGCUUAACACAUGCAAGUCGAGCGGAAAGGCCCUUCGGGGUACUCGAGCGGCGAACGGGUGAGUAACACGUGAGCAACCUGCCCUCAGCUCUGGGAUAGCUCCGGGAAACCGGAAUUAAUACCGGAUAUGACCCUGACUGACAUCGGUCAGGGUGGAAAGGAUUCCGGCUGAGGAUGGACUCGCGGCCUAUCAGCUAGUUGGUGGAGUAACGGCCCACCAAGGCGACGACGGGUAGCCGGCCUGAGAGGGCGACCGGCCACACUGGGACUGAGACACGGCCCAGACUCCUGCGGGAGGCAGCAGUGGGGAAUAUUGCGCAAUGGGCGAAAGCCUGACGCAGCGACGCCGCGUGGGGGAUGAAUGCCUUCGGGUUGUAACCCUUUCAGCAGGGACGAAGCGAGAGUGACGGUACCUGCAGAAGAAGCGCCGGCUAACUACGCGCCAGCAGCCGCGGUAA
This 477-nucleotide ribosomal RNA is filed under the name uncultured bacterium. RNAcentral's name for it is "SSU rRNA". It matches the Rfam family "Bacterial small subunit ribosomal RNA", at positions 26 to 523 of the family's 1533-position model. The record is from RNAcentral.